ACAACAUCAAAAUAGUUUCAAUGGUGGAAAGUCCGGUGGGUGUGUACUGUUGCGAAAAAGUGUUUAUGAUUGUCCAGAUUGUUGGCGGGCCUGUAGAGUAAUCUGGAGUAGAGGAAAUUCAUGGAAAAAUGAAAAUGUGUUUCUAAACGGGUUGAUAUUUUGAAAAACAUUUUACAAAGAUGUCAACAAAACGAAACAUCACCAGACAAGCCUGGAAAUGAACCCACAGGGAUAAAGAAAACAAGUUCGCCCAAGAAAGAGCUGGAGGAGAACUGUGAUAGACGAGGCCUGGAGGCAGGGUAUUUUCUGGACGAGAUAGAAAGGAUAGCGCAAAACAGAGUGUCAUGUCAUGCUGUUUCCAAAUGCCUAUCUCCAUGAGGAGUUGAAGGGAUUAUAAGUCAACAAAACAAUUACAAGAUCAUCUUUUAGAAGAAAACAAAAUGAUGGAGCAUCAAAGCAUGCAAAUUUCAGUGAGCCGAUUGAUAGUACAGUAGUAAAACCAUGCCAAUAUCAAGCAAGAGAUGGGCCUAUCUAAUGAUUACGGUAAUGACGAUUAAUCACAAGCAGCCAAUGUCAACAGAACGUGCGUUUUGCUAAGUUUUUUUUCUCAAGAUUAAAAUUGACAAGUGCUAGCCAGGAUUCUUGGUACAGUCUCAUUAACACUAAAGCAAAGGUAUUUAUUCUUAUUAAUUCUGAUUACUCGAACCAUGCAUUUGAGUGGUGCAAGGAGCUAAUGAUCCAUAGAUGGAGUGAGAUACAAUUAUCAUAAUGGAGUUGACAGAUCCCUUGUUGUUUUUCCAAUUAGUGUCAGCUUCGGAGUUGUGGAAGUAACUUUUGAUCAGUUAUUCAUGUUACUACAUACUCCAUCAGCUUAUGACAGACCGGAAGACUCCGAGCCCGAUGUAAUUUCACACUCUCGCCAAACGUGUCAAUCAAAAUCAUGGAGGGGAACUUAACCCAGGUUCAGUAACCAACCUUCUCUAUCUCGUAUUGGUGUGUUGAACAGUGGUAGGCCAGAGAUGAAAUUAUAAGCCAAGAUUGCGGCGCCCCCAAGGAUGAAGUGGUAGCCAGUAAGGCUAGCCUGAAAUUAACUAUAAGUAUAAGAAAAUAAUCUCCAAUUUUUGUGCUGAUGAUGAGUUUAACCCAUUUUCCGCAGUGGUAGUUCAUAUUUUGUAUACAAACAAACAUGGAAUGCAUGGACCAUUAAGCCUAUGUACGAUUACAUCCCUCUGCCAUGGGUUCAUCACCUGUUAUUUAGCUAUUUUUUAGAGUUUUUAUAACGAUAAUAAUUACUAUUGUUAUUAUUAUAAUAAUAAUAAAUAAAUGAAUACUUUGAUGUCAUUUUAUUUCGUUCGUUUUACUGUAUUAUUAAUUUUUUUAAAUAUAUUUUAUAUUGUAUAUUGGAAGUCUAAUAGUGGUUUACAAGUACUCGUUCUGUCCAGCUGGGAUUUGAGAUGAUAGAAGUAUUUAAGAUGAUUUAUAUUGGUAGUCAUGAGCAUUGUUAUUUCCAAUUUUUGGACAAUAAAGAAAUUUGUAUCUUG
This is a long non-coding RNA of Anneissia japonica, 1541 nucleotides long. RefSeq lists it as uncharacterized. The record is from RefSeq and is a predicted model, not a curated record. NCBI's taxonomy places the organism in Eukaryota, Metazoa, Echinodermata, Crinoidea, Comatulida, Comatulidae. The transcript is spliced from 4 exons.